Canis lupus familiaris (dog) is the source of this 1166-nucleotide long non-coding RNA. RefSeq lists it as uncharacterized. NCBI's taxonomy places the organism in Eukaryota, Metazoa, Chordata, Mammalia, Carnivora, Canidae. The transcript is spliced from 3 exons. The record is from RefSeq and is a predicted model, not a curated record.
GUAAGAGGGAGGGUGGAAAGAUAAUUGAGAAAGAAACACACAACUUGAACUUUGCCUAAAAAAAAGAGAGAAAGGAGAAAGGGAAGGUAAACACUCUGCAGAUGGGAGAAAACAAGGUGCCAAGCGCAGAAUUCAGGAACAAUAGAGACAGCACCAUUUCGGAGCUGAUAGAAUUGUGAUACCAUGUGAGACCGGCGUAUUAAUAUGUAUUCCAUAAACUGUGCGGCUCGCAGCUCUGCACCGCUCUGUUUUGCUCUGACCGCAGUACCAGCCUCAGGCACCACAACACAAUUUGGAAACAAUGUGACGGAAAUGUUUAAUCUGCUCGGCCCAUCUGUGCUGCGUAUUUCUCCAGAUCUCCCUGAGAGAGGCGCCUUGAAUCUCCACAUUGCCUUUAAUAUUCUCCUAAAUCACCUCCCCACUGCACUUCAAGGGCCAUUGCUACAAUAUCACAGAUUGUUCCGGCGAGGGAAAGGCAACGUCCCAGUUGCGGAGCCCUACAGCCUGUCGGUGUGUUACAUCAUCUGCACACAUAGGCGUUUCCAUGACAACCGCUUAUAGCUUCAUUUCCUGGAUCCCUCUAGGGGGUGUCACAGCCAGAUCCACCUGCUUUUCACCCUACCCUCGGUGGGGUCAUGGAUGGUCUUAUAGAGGAUAAAUGAUGGGAAAAAUCUGUCAUUAUUGGGAGGAAGAAUGAAAAUAACAGCACGGCAUCAUUUGCCAUUUGAAAAUGGCCAGAUCUUGGAGCACCAACAAGCAAGAGAGAUAGAACAAGAAAGAUGUGAUGUAGAGACCCACCCAGUCAGAAUGUCCACAAGGCACUGCUCUUUUAGGAAUCGGCCAACACCUUUGCUAGGUGUUUAUAGAUGCUCUGUUUGUGGAAAGUACAGUGAAAAAUAACAAUUUGAAUGUUUCGAUUAUCUUUCCCAGUCCGUUCCAUUUUCAUUAUUUAUUUCCUAUAAAUCGGGACCUUGCUGAACAUAAUUCUACAGACAAGGAGGUGGAUGGGACAGCCUGUGUGAAGGAGGAGAUAGAUGGUGGGUACGUGUAAGACAGAUGCUAUGCGUUUAUGAAAAGGAGCAGUAUGUCUGCGUGUGAACAUCCACAGAGUAGAGCAAGCAAGCGUGUAAACUAUAAUGGGUAUUUAUAGGUGAAAAAAAAAAAAA